UUUUACUGUAUAUACAUGUUUAUACUUCCAUGAAAUUUCAGUGUGUAUCUGUAACCUUUAGCAUAAAUGCAGUUCCAACUACAACGAAGAUUUUGUGCUACAGCUAGAGAAGGAAUUGGUCCAAGCCCGACUGAGUGAAGCUGAGUCUCAGUGUGCACUAAAAGAGAUGCAGGAUAAAGUCUUGGAUAUAGAGAAGAGGAAUAACUCCCUUCCUGAUGAGAAUAAUAUCGCAAGGCUUCAGGAAGAACUCAUUGCUGUGAAACUGAGGGAAGCAGAAGCCAUUAUGGGUUUGAAAGAACUUAGACAGCAAGUCAAGGAUUUAGAGGAACACUGGCAGCGCCACUUAGCUCGUACUACUGGGAAAUGGAAAGACCCACCGAAGAAAAAUGCUAUGAAUGAGUUACAAGAUGAACUGAUGACCAUUCGACUUAGAGAAGCUGAAACACAGGCAGAAAUAAGAGAAAUAAAACAAAAGAUGAUGGAAAUGGAAACACAGAACCAGAUCAAUAGUAACCAUCUUCGAAGAGCAGAACAAGAGGUGGUUAACCUACAGGAGAAAGUGCAGUAUCUUUCUGCACAGAACAAAGGACUCCUUACUCAGUUAAGUGAAGCAAAGCGCAAACAAGCAGAGAUUGAAUUCAAGAAUAAGGAAGAAGUGAUGGCUGUGAGGCUCCGGGAAGCAGAUAGCAUAGCUGCUGUGGCUGAACUACGACAACACAUUGCUGAGCUUGAAAUCCAGAAAGAAGAAGGAAAGCUUCAAGGACAGCUUAACAAGUCUGACUCUAACCAGUAUAUUAGGGAACUGAAAGAUCAGAUAGCAGAGCUGAAUCAUGAGCUCAGGUGCCUAAAAGGCCAGAGGGGCUUCUCAGGCCAACCUCCUUUUGAUGGAAUCCACAUUGUCAACCAUUUAAUAGGAGAUGAUGAAUCAUUCCAUUCCUCCGAUGAAGAUUUUAUAGAUAAUUCCUUACAGGAAACUGGUGUUGGUUUUCCUUUGCACGGAAAAUCUGGCUCGAUGUCUUUGGACCCCGCAGUGGCAGAUGGUAGUGAGAGCGAAACAGAAGACAGUGUGCUGGAGACCAGAGAGAGCAAUCAAGUGGUUCAAAAGGAGCGGCCCCCGAGAAGAAUAGAGUCGUAUUCAACCACUGUCUGACCAUCACUGUGACCUAGACUAUGGAUUUAUUUAAGGGAUCAGCUAUCAUAUGAUUAGGGAUUUUUGGAAAUAAUUUGUUUCAUAUGUACAUAUAUAUAUAUACAUAUAUAUAUAUAUAUUUUACAGUCUUAUCUGCCUUUUUAUCUUUGCCAAAUCUUUACCACUGACUUACCAUUGCCAUAAAGUAGACUGGUAUAUGGUUAAUGUGUAAAACAAAGUUCUAACAGUAUUACUGAAUAUUAAUGUUUCUUGUUUAGAAAAUGCAACUAUAUCUAUAUGGGGGAACCAUUUUGAAGUUCAAAACUAUGGAAAAUUGAGUUUUCUUCAGACAAAACUGCUCUUGUGCAAUAUUUUAUGCUCAGUGAGCAAAUUGUAUAUUUAUGUUUAUCAAUUUGUUCUCAAGGUGGCUGUCUACAGACCUUUGACCAAGACAUAUGUCUGAUUUACCUUGUGUUUUGUUUUUUUUAUUGUUGUUUUUUUUUUUUUUUAAGACAGAGAUCCACUCUGUCACCCAGGCUGGAGUGCUGUGGUGUGAUCUCAGCUCACUGCAACCUCCGCCUCCCGGGUUCAAGCAAUUUCCCUGUCUCAGCCUCCCAAGUACCUGGGACUACGGGUGCGCAACACCACGCGUGGCUAAUAUUUUGUAUUUUUAGUACAGACUGGAUUUCACCAUGUUGGCUGGGCUGGUCUCGAACUCCCGACCUCAAGUGAUCCACCCGCCUCAGCCUCCACGAUUACAGGCGUGAGCCACUGCACCCAGCCUAGCUUGUAUGUUUGUAUCUGGGAGGUUUUUUUUUUUUCCAUGAAAAUUAUUGAUGGGCCACUGAAAGUUCCCACACACAAAGACUUUAUAUAAUUUCAUAAACACAAAUUCAUGCUUAUCUGUUUUGAGAGUUUUAAGUUUUGUUUUAAUGUUUAACUUUUAUGUGCAUAUGAUGCUUCCAUGUGUUGGUUACCAGAGUAGUAGGUUAACUACAGACAUACUGUUUAUUUGUACAUAUUUAUAAAUCUGUACCACCUAACAUUGAACAUCAUUUUAUAUGAAGAACAUACAUGUUGCAAAAUGACUGCUUUUGGCAUCUAACAGGACUUCUGUAAAUAAUAGGUUAAAUGAAAAGUUAAAAAUAAAACACUAAUAUUUUAAGAGCUUUAGUAUUUUGCUUAGCAUUCAACACUAGCAGUUUCAUAACUGAUGCCUGUUCGAAAACACUUGGUGGAAUCUUAUUUUAUGUGUAUGUAACUACUAAAUUUUUCAUGACUGAAGAGGUUAUAGCACAUAUUAGUUAGUGCUGAUAUUCUACUGAAUAUAAUUUAAGUAAUGGGCUAAGGUCCAAGAAACAUAGCAAUUAUAUCUACAAAUAACCUAUGAACGUGAUCUUCAGAAUCUCUAGUUUUUGUUCUAUAGAUAAAGCCAUAAGAAUUCUUUCCUACCAGUUUUUCCUUUAUCAUUUAGAUAUUAUUUCCUAGAAAACAGGAUGCCUGUCACUGAUAAAUUAGAGAAAACACCCAAAUUAUACUUGCACUAUGGAAAGAUGACAUGAAUAUGUUGACUGGGUACUUUCUACUCUCAUUUUUGUUAGUCUAUGAAAAAAAAAUUUUUUUUUGUUAACCUAUGGAAAAAAGCCUUGGAAGAGAAAAGUAGAAUUCAGUAUGUAUGGAGGCACAGUUUUGCACAGUAUGUUGCGUGCGGAGAAAAAAAUUAUGAAAUAGAGUAAAAGAGAUAUGUAGUUUUCUGUCAAAACCUAGGACUUAAGCCUUCAGGUGCAUUUUGAACUAGGCUUUCCAGCAAGGUUUCUAUAGGUAUUUGCUUGCCUGAGAAAUGAAAUUGAAAACAUGCCCCUGUGUCUGUCCUUAACACCAGGCUAAAUUCUGGUAGUUCAAUAACUUACCUGUGGUUACAAGCUAGUAAGUAGCAGAGCCAAGAUUUUUUUUAAUAUGGAGACAGUUGUCUUACCAUGUUGUCCAGGCUGGUCUUGAACUCCUGGCCUCAAGCAGUCCUCCUUCCUCAGCCUCCCAUAGUGUGGGGAUUACAGGUGCGAGCUACCGCACCCAGUGAGAGCCAAGAUUUUAAUCUAGAUCUCCUUAACACCAAAGCUUUUGAAAAGGUUCAGCUGAAGAAUUUCUCAAUUCCCUAUUUUGUUUUGUUUUUUGAGAUGAAGUCUCACUCUGUCACCCAGGCUGGAGUGCAGUGGUGCGAUCUUGGCUCACUGCAACCUCCGCCUCCCGGGUUCAAGCAAUUCUCCUGCCUCAGCUACCAAGUAGCUGGCACUACAGGUGCACGACACCACGACUGGCUAAUUUUUGUAUUUUUAGUAGAGAUGGGGUUUCACUAUGUUGGCCAGGCUGAUCUCAAACUUCUGACCUCAGGUGAUCCACCCACUUUGACCUCCCAAAGUGCUGGGAUUACUAGGCGUAAGCCACCACACCUGGCAAUUCCCUGCUUUUUUGACAAUGUAAUUUAAAUAAAUUUGAUUUAAAUGUUUCCUGAAUAUAUAUACAGAUAGAUAUAUGAGUAUCAACACUUACAAGCUCUACACAGUUUAUAAGUGUAGAUACUACUUACUCGUAGGAUUGUCUUGUGCUUUGGGGAUUUUUCGUUCGGAGUUCUAUACUAUCAGCUCAAAAGGCUAUCGAUGCCCAAGUGAAGUGAGAUGCUUCAUGGCCACAUUAUUGCUUUGACCCUCACAUCAAGAGAUCUGAAUGACCUAGACUAGGGGUCAGCAAACUGCAGCCUACAAGCUAUUCCAGUCAGCUGCCAGUUUUUACUUUUUUAAAUAGUUGGGGGAAAAGUUCCAAAGACUAAUAUUUUGUGUCACAUGAAAAUUAUAUGAAAUUUAAAUUGCAGUGUCCAUAAGUAAAGUUUUAUUGGGGCACACCCAUCCUCACCCUUUUAAAUAUUGUGUAUGGCUGCUUUGUGCUACAGUAGCAGAGUUGAGUCAUUGCGAGGGAGACUGUAUGGCCCAGGUAGCCUAAAAUAUUUAUCUGAUCCUUUACAGAAAAAGUUUGCUAACCCUUGAUAACAGAUACUCUAAAAUGCAGGUUUUUCUUCUUCAGUUUAACUCAGUGGUAGGUCAAAUUGUUUGCUCUUGCUAUUAAGCUUAUGAUUUGGAAACGUAAAAUUUCAUGGUGGAUCUUAUGCUCAGAACUAUUCAAAAGGGAAAACAUGCCAGCCAUUUUAUAUGAUGAAGUCUCUUAUUCCAUAGAAAAUUGUAGAAAGAUAUCUGUAUCUUUCGAGAAGGAGAAACAAAGGAAAGAAUUCCAGAAUCCCAUCACUGUUCUUUAAAGCAUGCAUCACAGACCUUUAAGGGUAUACUUUAUUGAGUAAAGGUUAUCAUUUGACUUUAAGAUAAGAAAUUUUCAGAAUCAUGUUUGAAUUCUAAACUUUGAUAUUCUUAAGUACCAUUUCUGAUUAGGAAUUAGGUGUUAAAGGAAUCAUGGUAAGGAAACCUUAAUUCGUUGAAACUCUUGUAAUUUGGACAACAGAAAACUAGAAAUAACACUCUUUUCUUUGAAGAUCUGAUUCAAAUACACCUCAGAAGAGUUUAAAAUCUUCCAGGCCUUUAGGAUGCAAUAGGAUAUCAUGCCCUGGUUUGACUCCUUUUCAUUCAAAUUAAUGUAAGUAUGUUGUUCCAGACUUUGAAGCAUUGAACAAUGUUCUCUUGAUAAAUUUUAUUUAAUCUCUGACACUUUGUGAUAUUUAAAUGUUGUUAAGUUAACACUUAGAGUUGAGUAAUAUUCAGGGGAGAAAAGUGAAUGAAAUGACUCAUAAUAAGAAAGCUUGCUCCCUUGGGAUAAUUACAUUCCUGGUGUCAUUGCCAUCCUGGGUUGACAAGUUGCGAGUAUAGGAUACAAGUGAUGUGAAUAAAAUGGAAAUUGCAUUGAGUUAAUGAAACAGACACUUUUAGAUCAAGAAAACACUUCAACAGCCUUUUUAAAAAUUGGCACACUCCUGUAGUCCCAGCUAUCCAAGAGGCUGAGGCAGGAGGAUCACUAGAGUACAGGAGUUUGAGGCUGUAGUGUGUAAUGAUCACACCUGUGAGUGAAUAACCACUGCACUCCAACCUGGGCAACAUGGCAAGACACUAUCUCUUUAAAAAAAAAAAAAAUUUUUUUUUCUUCCUGGGAAAAGAAGUCAAAGAUAUAACUUUACACAAUUUCUACACCCACUGCCUUUUUGUUUGUUUGUUUGUUUGUUUUUUGGCUAGAUACUAGGUAUUCAGUGUUUGCUAACUGAGAUGUCAGGUUUCAACUAAUCGGCCAGUUAUUUGGGAAGGAGAAAAACUUUUUCUCAGCUCUGAACAUGAUGCAGCUUGUUAACUCUCCAGAUAGUGCCUUUGAUUGAAAAUAAGGUCUACACCUUUUUAAGUAUAUUAUAUCUGACAUCAUAAGAAAUAAUUUAGUUCCUUAUUCUCAUUUAUCUUUUAUAUAAUGCACUGUAAUAUUCAAGUUUAAAGUAAAAUAAGUAUAUGAAUUAUAUUUUGGUAAAACUGUUUCAUGACCAGCUUGAUUAAUGUACAUUGUACAUUAACAUACCAGACAUUGACAGCGAACAUUUCAUGAAAUCAAUUAUUUACUUAUUAAAACAAUGAGUAUUAGCUUGAAAGUUAUUGCUGCUCUAUUAUUAACAAAACUAAGUUUUAAAAAUUAAUUUUAAUUCUACUGAAAUUCAAUUUCUGGUUAAAGAUAUAGUGGAUGCUAUUUAUGAUCCAAGUUUUUACAUCACAUCCAUUGAUCUGCCUAUCCUUUCUUUUCACUCCAAAGAGGAGAUGAUAGAAUAAUACAUUCAAUAUACUACCAAGAAGCAAAGUUAUAAUGUGUUUCAUUUUAUGGUUGGAAUUUUUUAUUGUAACAUUGUAUGAUAACCUGAAAUGUUUACUUGUGCCUUUGCUUUAAACAAUUAAAGUUUUCCAUUUUAU
This 6066-nucleotide long non-coding RNA is filed under the name Rhinopithecus roxellana (golden snub-nosed monkey). RNAcentral's name for it is "lncRNA (ENSRROG00000046045.1)". Lineage: Eukaryota; Metazoa; Chordata; Mammalia; Primates; Cercopithecidae. The record is from RNAcentral.